Long non-coding RNA from Podarcis raffonei (Aeolian wall lizard), 965 nucleotides. RefSeq lists it as uncharacterized. The transcript is spliced from 2 exons. The record is from RefSeq and is a predicted model, not a curated record. Lineage: Eukaryota; Metazoa; Chordata; Lepidosauria; Squamata; Lacertidae.
GGGGCUGCAAAAAAUGGGCUUCAGUUACCAAAAAGGACUAGCAUAUGAUGAUGGCUUGAAAUAUGUGUGCUGUUUGCAGCUGAAUGAAAAAUGGAAUUGUCAAUGUGUUUCAGCAGGGGUGCACUCCUCAAUCCACACCAAAUUUAAGUCUAAAUCUGAGGUAUGUAUUGUUGAAUAUAUUUCUAAUAUCAAAUUGCUAGCUGGCCUUUCACAUAUAUCUUCUCUACCACUUCCCUGCCAUGUUGUGGGGAAAAUUCAGGACAAGUGUAGAGUAUUUAUUACGUGUACAAAAGAAAGUUUCUUACAAGAAAAUUGCACUGACUGCAGUUGCAAACUGGUAAAUCCUUUUUGGAUUGGUAGAAUAUCGCCUAUCUUAAAUUUGUUUCAAAGCAAAAUUUUGGAUAUAUUUUCCCCAAAGUUGGAGAAGCAAACACUGCUUUGAAUUGGAGGGACCAUUGAAAAUAAUCCCAACGUGGUCAUCUGCUGCAGCCACUGUCUUAAUAAAAUAUAUUUAAAUUUUCUGAUACAUUCUCUUAGAGAUAUUGGAGGAAAAGCCUGUCCAGCUCUUUCACUGAUUAAAAAGCUCACGAUAACAGAUGCCUCAUGAGGUUCACAGAUCUUUUUACUAGAUAAGGAUGACACACUUUUUCUCAGGGAUAAGAGGACUCCCCCAAAUAUGACUCCCCCAUAUUGCAAACCGUUUGAGAUUUUGUGCCUUUGCUGCAAAAUCAUAUUUUCAAGUAACUUUUUUUCUUCAAGUAAUACAACUGAGUGUAAUGCAGCUGCUACCUAGAUUUGGGCCUUAGAUUUCACAGUUUCUCCUUUAGUAGUUGGGUAGGAACAUACCAGCUUUUAACUAAUGAUGAUUUUAGCCUAUGUUGUGUGUGUAUUCGCAUGCAUGUAUGUACAAGAGGAAAGGCUUUGCCAGUACAGUAAGGGCAGUGGUGUGCGCAUAUUUUGUAUAU